GUGCUUGAUGGUUGUUGUGGUUCUAUUGCAGGUGGUGGUGGGUUAGGGGUAGUUGUGAUGGCGGGUUAGGUGUGGUGGGUGAAGGGGUGGUUUUGUUGGUUGGUUAGGUGCGACGGUGGGUGAAGGUAUGGUUGAUGGUGGUGGCUCGGGUUAGCCUGCUUAUUUCUGUUUGCAAUUCAGGUGUGGUUGAUGGUGGCGGUGGCGGUGGUGUUGGUGGUGGCGGUGGAGGGUGA
This 233-nucleotide long non-coding RNA is filed under the name Helianthus annuus (common sunflower). RNAcentral's name for it is "hypothetical non coding rna". The record is from RNAcentral. Lineage: Eukaryota; Viridiplantae; Streptophyta; Magnoliopsida; Asterales; Asteraceae.